UACGAAGGGGGCUAGCGUUUGUUCGGGAAUUACUGGGCGUAAAGCGCACGUAGGCGGAUAUUUAAGUCAGGGGUGAAAUCCCAGAGCUCAACUCUGGAACUGCCUUUGAUACUGGGUAUCUCGAGUCCGAGAGAAGGUGAGUGGAAUUCCGAGUGUAGAGGUGAAAUUCGUAGAUAUUCGCAAGAACACCAGUGGCGAAGGCGGCUCACUGGCCCGAUACUGACGCUGAGGCACGAAAGCGUGGGGAGCAAACAGG
Molecule: ribosomal RNA, 256 nt
Filed under: uncultured bacterium
Lineage: Bacteria
Description: partial 16S ribosomal RNA
Rfam family: Bacterial small subunit ribosomal RNA
Source: RNAcentral